UAGGGAAUCUUCCGCAAUGGGCGAAAGCCUGACGGAGCAACGCCGCGUGAGUGAUGAAGGUCUUCGGAUCGUAAAACUCUGUUAUUAGGGAAGAACAAAUGAGUAAGUAACUAUGCACGUCUUGACGGUACCUAAUCAGAAAGCCACGGCUAACUACGUGCCAGCAGCCGCGGUAAUACGUAGGUGGCAAGCGUUAUUCGGAAUUAUUGGGCGUAAAGCGCGCGUAGGCGGUUUUUUAAGUCUGAUGUGAAAGCCCACGGCUCAACCGUGGAAGGUCAUUGGAAACUGGAAAACUUGAGUGCAGAAGAGGAAAGUGGAAUUCCAUGUGUAGCGGUGAAAUGCGCAGAGAUAUGGAGGAACACCAGUGGCGAAGGCGACUUUCUGGUCUGUAACUGACGCUGAUGUGCGAAAGCGUGGGGAUCAAACAGG
RNAcentral lists this ribosomal RNA (429 nucleotides) under Actinomycetes bacterium. RNAcentral describes it as "Actinobacteria bacterium partial 16S ribosomal RNA". It matches the Rfam family "Bacterial small subunit ribosomal RNA", at positions 355 to 776 of the family's 1533-position model. The record is from RNAcentral. Lineage: Bacteria; Bacillati; Actinomycetota; Actinomycetes.